GCAAACUUGGUCAUUUAGAGGAAGUAAAAGUCGUAACAAGGUUUCCGUAGGUGAACCUGCGGAAGGAUCAUUACUGAGAGAGGGGCUUCGCGCUCCCGGGGGUUUCGGCCCUCAACUCUUCACCCUAUGUCUAUCUACCUUCGUUGCUUUGGCGGGCCAUGAGGUUUGCCACGCGCUGGCCUUUGGGCCGGUGAGCGCCCGUCAGAGGCUCUUUAAAUUCUUUUUGUUAGUGAUGUCCGAGUCUUAAAAACAAUAAUGAAAAACUUUCAACAACGGAUCUCUUGGUUCCAGCAUCGAUGAAGAACGCAGC
This 310-nucleotide unclassified non-coding RNA is filed under the name uncultured fungus. RNAcentral describes it as "partial contains small subunit ribosomal RNA, internal transcribed spacer 1, and 5.8S ribosomal RNA". The stretch from base 1 to 73 matches the Rfam family "Eukaryotic small subunit ribosomal RNA", at positions 1759 to 1831 of the family's 1831-position model. Lineage: Eukaryota; Fungi. The record is from RNAcentral.